AAACUGCGAAAAGUAAUGUGAACUGCAUACUUUGUGAAUCAUCGAAUCUUCGAAUGCACAUUGCGCCACUUGACCCUGUCACUUGGCAUGCUUGUUUGAGUAUCACGCAACCGAUGCUUGCUCCCUUGCGGGGCAGCGACUUGAGAUCCAGAUGCUCGCGCAUUUGCUUCUUCAAAGACCUGGCGAGGCGAGGCUUAUUCAGUUUGAGCCGCACUGAGGGUCCCGUAGCACUUUUUUGGAUAACUCUGCAAAAGGUAUGCGGGGCGUGUAAGGAGCCCGUCGAAACAGGCAAAAAUCCAAUGGUUCAUCCAUUGGAUUUAUGCCAUGCGCCAAUUCAUUGACUUGAAUUACGCUGCAUGGAUCUCAAAUCAAGCAAGACUACCCGCUGAACUUAA
RNAcentral lists this unclassified non-coding RNA (395 nucleotides) under uncultured fungus. Its description in RNAcentral is "sequence contains ITS1". The stretch from base 1 to 105 matches the Rfam family "5.8S ribosomal RNA", at positions 50 to 154 of the family's 154-position model. The record is from RNAcentral. Lineage: Eukaryota; Fungi.